CAAACAACAUUAGAAGAAAAGGAAUAGCUAACUAUCUCCCAUGGCACGUAUGCAGAACAACACACGGGCCCUAUGCUUCGUAGCUCUUGUAGUCAUGGCCACCACUGUCUUCUCAGGUCAUGCAGCAGGUCAUUACAUAGAUACUGACCUGCUGUGUACACCUGUGGAGUAUUGUUCGCCGCCAGUCCGAGCUAGUGGCAACAUUGCGUGCAAGGUUAACUGUGUUAACCGAGGUUAUGCCAAGGACAAGAGCAGUUGCCAGGAAGGCAGUAGUGGCACAUGCUGUUGCGGAAAAAACUAAGAACCAUGAAAUGAGUUUAUAUAUGUACUAGAAAAUAUUGCAUGAAGGUGAAUGCUUAUAUUGUUUGUGUGAAACCUGAUUCAGUUCAUACAAAACAAUUAAUAAUAAGCUAUUGAUAA
Long non-coding RNA from Triticum dicoccoides, 420 nucleotides. RefSeq lists it as uncharacterized. The record is from RefSeq and is a predicted model, not a curated record. Lineage: Eukaryota; Viridiplantae; Streptophyta; Magnoliopsida; Poales; Poaceae. The transcript has 2 exons.